This 492-nucleotide ribosomal RNA is filed under the name uncultured bacterium. RNAcentral describes it as "partial 16S ribosomal RNA". It matches the Rfam family "Bacterial small subunit ribosomal RNA", at positions 29 to 507 of the family's 1533-position model. The record is from RNAcentral.
AGUGAACGCUGGCGGUAGGCCUAACACAUGCAAGUCGAACGGCAGCACAGUAAGAGCUUGCUCUUACGGGUGGCGAGUGGCGGACGGGUGAGGAAUACAUCGGAAUCUACUUUUUCGUGGGGGAUAACGUAGGGAAACUUACGCUAAUACCGCAUACGACCUACGGGUGAAAGCAGGGGAUCUUCGGACCUUGCGCGAUUGAAUGAGCCGAUGUCGGAUUAGCUAGUUGGCGGGGUAAAGGCCCACCCAGGCGACGAUCCGUAGCUGGUCUGAGAGGAUGAUCAGCCACACGGGAACGGAGACACGGUCAAGAGUCCUACGGGAGGCAGCAGUGGGGAAUAUUGGACAAUGGGGGAAAGCCUGAUCCAGCCAUACCGCGUGGGAGAAGAAGGCCUUCGGGUUGUAAAGCCCUUUUGUUGGGAAAGAAAAGCAGCAGGUUAAUACCACGCUGUUCUGACGGUACCCAAAGAAUAAGCACCGGCUAACUUCGUG